This is a non-coding RNA of Misgurnus anguillicaudatus (oriental weatherfish), 612 nucleotides long. NCBI's taxonomy places the organism in Eukaryota, Metazoa, Chordata, Actinopteri, Cypriniformes, Cobitidae. The record is from RefSeq and is a predicted model, not a curated record.
GAUGUAGCAGUACGGUUUUCUAUCCCCUGACGUCAUCUGGCCAGCUGAUGCGUGUGUUGUUGAUGACCAUGUAUCUGCCUAUAAAAGCGUUUCAGUUCACGUUAUGCGGGUGCGUUUGUUCCAUCAGCGAGCGAGCCGCCGUACUUCCGGGUUUUUGUGUACGAAUGGUAGUAAGGUAAGGGCUGCUUUCAGUGAAUGAUUUGCAAUGUUUAUGGUGUAUUGCACUGGGCUUUAUGAAAUUCAUUGACUUAAGGGUGGACUGAGGAGCUUUUCGGGAAACCCGUCAAUCGCUGCGUGAAUGGAGACGUUUACAUUACACGUCUCCAUCUGUGCUUCGUGAGUUCCAAUACAGCAUUGCAGUAUUUCGCAGGAUCAGCUGGACCGUGGUCUGGAUUUGGGGCGUGGUGCUUAUCCAAUUGUAGCUUUUCAUUGCCUCUGUAACCAGUUUACAGGCUUCCUGCCUAUUGCCUGUUUGGUAGCUGGGGUGACCGGACGCGGCGCCUACAGUGAUAACUUUUGGGCAGUUGAUUGCAUGACAAAAACCCAGAUUGUUAGAGGUGAUGUCUUUUUUUACUGUGUCUUUUAAAGGUUACUUAUUUGUUUUUUUGCUUU